This 1343-nucleotide long non-coding RNA is filed under the name Fukomys damarensis (Damara mole-rat). RNAcentral describes it as "lncRNA (ENSFDAG00000028783.1)". The record is from RNAcentral. Lineage: Eukaryota; Metazoa; Chordata; Mammalia; Rodentia; Bathyergidae.
GCUAGCUGUGCAUCUCAGUAGCUGUGCCUGAGGUAUACAGGAAGCAAUCUUCAUGUUUAUCCACUUGGUAUGAUGAAUGGCAAGAUGUGUGCAUGUGUGCAAAAGUGUCAAACUGGGAUUUUUACCCACAAAAUGCUCCAUCUAACAAGUUUUGCAUGUGUUUAUCUCAGUAUCACAUGGAGUACAAUACACCCAGACCACAUUCCUGUCACAAAAAUGUGUAUUUUAUCAUAAUAAAAUGUGGGUGGGACUCAUAAUUGCUGCACUGGGGAAAGCAAAAGCCCAGCUGUGCAUUUACCCACUUGGUAGACAAAUAGCAAAGUGUGUACAGGAGCUCCAAAGCAGCAACAGGUGAGGGCAACCCAUGAAAUGCUGCUCAUUGCUGAAUUUCUGUGCAUUUAGAAUUAUUAUUAUUGUUAUUAUUUUUGUACCACAGAUCAAACUCAGGACCUUGUGCCUAUGAGGCAGGCAGCAGAACCACUGAGCUAAAUUCCCAACCCCCUUAGAAUUUGUUUUUUAAAAAGUUUUCUUUUGAUUUUUCUGGUAGAAGUAGUCUAAUUCAGUACAGUGGCACAUGAAAAACUGGAUUUGUAAAUUUUGGAGGAAGUCAAAAGUGAGUCAUCAGAUUACUCAUGCAUGGAUAAUGAAGAUGAUAAUGACUUUGAUGUUGCCCAUGUGAGCCAAAGUUCCAGCGACAGUGAAAUGAAGCUAGGACUGACUGACACAGACACAGGGAAUGCAGACCUCCUUGGUUCAGAUGACAAAGAAAACAGUACUGGAACUAUGGGAAAAAAUCGUGGAGCACACUGGUGAGCUGACAGGUGAAAAGGCAAGCACAGCAUCACAAAGACCUAUGAUGACAACAGGAAAACCAAAAGGAUGUCGACUGUGCCCUACAAGAAAGGACAGGAAAAUAAAACAUACGUGCUAUCUGUAUAAACAAUACUUGUGUACGGAGCAUGCAGUUCUCAUGUGAGAGGGCUGCCUUGGUUGUGGUUGUGACAGUUGGAGCAAAAGUUAUUUCUGUGGGAGACUUUUGUUUGCUUGUUUUUCUUUCUUUUUUUUGGUACUGGGAAUUGAACUCGGGUCCUUGAGCUUGCCAGGGAGGCUACCAUACCACUGAGCUAAAUCCCUGACCCCUUUUUUUUGAGACAGGGCCUCACUACGUAGUUGAGACUGACCUUGAACUCACUGUGUAGCCCAGGCUGGUCUCAAACUCACAAUGAUCCUCCUGCCUUAGCCUCCUCAGUGCUGGGAUUACAGGUGUGCACCACAACGCCAGGGCUUUUUGUUUGUAUUUUGCAAGGCAGGUGGCAGCACCACUGAGCUAAAUCCACAACCCC